ACUGGCCGCCGGGGGGCUCACGCCCCCGGGCCCGCGCCCGCCGAAGACACCCUCGAACUCUGUCUGAAGAUUGAAGUCUGAGUGAAAAUAUAAAUUAUUUAAAACUUUCAACAACGGAUCUCUUGGUUCCGGCAUCGAUGAAGAACGCAGCGAAAUGCGAUACGUAAUGUGAAUUGCAAAUUCAGUGAAUCAUCGAGUCUUUGAACGCACAUUGCGCCCCCUGGUAUUCCGGGGGGCAUGCCUGUCCGAGCGUCAUUGCUGCCCUCAAGCCCGGCUUGUGUGUUGGGCCCCGUCCUCCGAUCUCCGGGGGACGGGCCCGAAAGGCAGCGGCGGCACCGCGUCCGGUCCUCGAGCGUAUGGGGCUUUGUCACCCGCUCUGUAGGCCCGGCCGGCGCUUGCCGAUCAACCCAAAUUUUUAUCCAGGUUGACCUCGGAUCA
Molecule: ribosomal RNA, 438 nt
Filed under: Penicillium sp. FL-2010k
Lineage: Eukaryota; Fungi; Ascomycota; Eurotiomycetes; Eurotiales; Aspergillaceae
Description: eukaryotic LSU rRNA
Rfam family: 5.8S ribosomal RNA (bases 103-255)
Source: RNAcentral